Molecule: small nuclear RNA, 177 nt
Filed under: Crocodylus porosus (Australian saltwater crocodile)
Lineage: Eukaryota; Metazoa; Chordata; Crocodylia; Crocodylidae
Description: U1 spliceosomal RNA (ENSCPRG00005013393.1)
Source: RNAcentral
UUGCUUACCUGGCAAGGGAAAUACCAUGACUACUAAGGUGGUUUUCCCGCUGGCUGGGGAAAACCAUGAACAUGGCAGGAGGUAGUACACUAGCUGAGCACUUUCACUUCCAGUGGGAAGAUCUCGGCUAUACGCUGCCUUUAUGGAAAUGGGAGACUUCUCCCUAGCUCACUCUUG